UACGGAGGGGGCUAGCGUUGUUCGGAAUUACGUGGGCGUAAAGCGCGCGUAGGCGGACCUGCAAGUCGGGGGUGAAAGCCCGAAGGCUCAACCUCCGGAACUGCCUUCGAUACUGACGGGUUCUGCGAGUCCGGGAGAGGUGAGUGGAAUUCCUAGUGUAGAAGGUGAAAUUCGUAGAUAUUAGGAAGAACACCAGUGGCGAAGGCGGCUCACUGGCCCGGGUACUGACGCUGAGGCGACGAAAGCGUGGGGAGCAAACAGG
This 262-nucleotide ribosomal RNA is filed under the name uncultured bacterium. Its description in RNAcentral is "partial 16S ribosomal RNA". It matches the Rfam family "Bacterial small subunit ribosomal RNA", at positions 524 to 776 of the family's 1533-position model. The record is from RNAcentral.